Molecule: ribosomal RNA, 483 nt
Filed under: uncultured bacterium
Lineage: Bacteria
Description: partial 16S ribosomal RNA
Rfam family: Bacterial small subunit ribosomal RNA
Source: RNAcentral
GACGAACGCUGGCGGCGUGCUUAACACAUGCAAGUCGAACGAUGAAGCCGGAGCUUGCUCCGGUGGAUUAGUGGCGAACGGGUGAGUAACACGUGAGCAAUCUGCCCUUGACUCUGGGAUAACUGCGGGAAACUGUAGCUAAUACCGGAUACGACACCUUGGGGCAUCCCAGGGUGUGGAAAGAAUUUCGGUCAAGGAUGAGCUCGCGGCCUAUCAGCUAGUUGGUGAGGGAAUGGCUCACCAAGGCGACGACGGGUAGCCGGCCGGAGAGGGUGACCGGCCACACUGGAACUGAGACACGGUCCAGACGCCUACGGGAGGCAGGAGUGGGGAAUAUUGCACAAUGGGCGAAAGCCUGAUGCAGCAACGCCGCGUGAGGGAUGAAGGCCUUCGGGUUGUAAACCUCUUUUAGCAGGGAAGAAGCGAAAGUGACGGUACCUGCAGAAAAAGCACCGGCUAACUACGUGCCAGCCGCCGCCGUAA